This 500-nucleotide ribosomal RNA is filed under the name uncultured organism. RNAcentral's name for it is "SSU rRNA". It matches the Rfam family "Bacterial small subunit ribosomal RNA", at positions 10 to 509 of the family's 1533-position model. The record is from RNAcentral.
AGUUGAUCCGUGCUACGAGACGACGCUGGCGGCGUGCCUAACACAUGCAAGUCGAACGAAGCACUUUCCUUGGAGAUUCGUCGAAGAGGGAAUUGACUUAGUGGCGGACGGGUGAGUAAUGCGUGAGCAACCUGCCCUUCAGAGGGGGACAACAGUUGGAAACGACUGCUAAUACCGCAUAACGUAUACGGGAGGCAUCUCCUGCAUACCAAAGAUUUUAUCGCUGAAGGAUGGGCUCACGUCUGAUUAGCUUGUUGGUGGGGUAACGGCCUACCAAGGCUGCGAUCAGUAGCCGGACUGAGAGGUUGAACGGCCACAUUGGGACUGAGAUACGGCCCAGACUCCUACGGGAGGCAGCAGUGGGGAAUAUUGGGCAAUGGGCGCAAGCCUGACCCAGCAACGCCGCGUGAAGGAAGAAGGCCUUCGGGUUGUAAACUUCUUUUAUGAGGGACGAAGGACGUGACGGUACCUCAUGAAUAAGCCACGGCUAACUACGUGCC